AAUCAACGCUGGCGGCGUGCCUCAGACAUGCAAGUCGAACGAGAAAGUCCCCUUCGGGGGAUAAGUAAAGUGGCGCACGGGUGAGUAACACGUAGGUAAUCUACCUUCGGGUGGGGAAUAACCCAGGGAAACUUGGGCUAACACCGCAUAAUGCAGCGGCACCACAUGGUGACAGUUGUUAAAGCGGGGGAUUUUCGGACCUCGCGCCUGGAGAGGAGCCUGCGGCAGGUUAGCUAGNGGUAAGGUAACGGCUUACCAAGGCGACGAUCUGUAGCCGGCCUGAGAGGGCGGUCGGCCACACUGACACUGACAUACGGGUCAGACUCCUACGGGAGGCAGCAGUCGGGAAUUUUGGGCAAUGGGCGAAAGCCUGACCCAGCAACGCCGCGUGAAGGAU
Molecule: ribosomal RNA, 397 nt
Filed under: uncultured bacterium
Lineage: Bacteria
Description: bacterial SSU rRNA
Rfam family: Bacterial small subunit ribosomal RNA
Source: RNAcentral